GGCCAGACUCCUACGGGAGGCUUUCAGCGGGGAGGAAGGUGUUGUGGUUAAUAACCACAGCAAUUGACGUUACCCGCAGAAGAAGCACCGGCUAACUCCGUGCCAGCAGCCGCGGUAAUACGGAGGGUGCAAGCGUUAAUCGGAAUUACUGGGCGUAAAGCGCACGCAGGCGGUCUGUCAAGUCGGAUGUGAAAUCCCCGGGCUCAACCUGGGAACUGCAUUCGAAACUGGCAGGCUGGAGUCUUGUAGAGGGGGGUAGAAUUCCAGGUGUAGCGGUGAAAUGCGUAGAGAUCUGGAGGAAUACCGGUGGCGAAGGCGGCCCCCUGGACAAAGACUGACGCUCAGGUGCGAAAGCGUGGGGAGCAAACAGGAUUAGAUACCCUAGUA
This 387-nucleotide ribosomal RNA is filed under the name uncultured bacterium. Its description in RNAcentral is "bacterial SSU rRNA". It matches the Rfam family "Bacterial small subunit ribosomal RNA", at positions 401 to 792 of the family's 1533-position model. The record is from RNAcentral.